This is a small nucleolar RNA of Cercocebus atys (sooty mangabey), 83 nucleotides long. The record is from Ensembl. NCBI's taxonomy places the organism in Eukaryota, Metazoa, Chordata, Mammalia, Primates, Cercopithecidae.
UUCACAAUGUCUAUUGAAGGAUCUCAUCACGUUUAGAGAGCUGUGGUCAUGCUCCCUAAAGUGAAUUUGGAGGUUUUAUACAC